ACCAGUUGCAGGUAAGAUACGGUUUAGCCAACUGACGAUGGUUUGUACUCCCUCCGUCCGAAAAUACUUGUCAUCAAAAUGGACAAAAAGGUUUGUACUAGAAGAGUGAUGAAAACCAAACCUCAACACAGCACGCUCAAAAGAUUUGGUGUAAAAAUCUAAUAAACUUCUCUCAAAUUGUGAGGAUGAUACAAUGAGGGACCUGACAACAGCAGCGUACACACAAUUCCCAUGGAUUACAGUAGCUCAGAAUUCAACUCCUGGGGAAUAUAGCAUAUGCUGGGCUUCAUCCAUGGUGAUACAGAGUAAUGGUGCUGUAUUACAGAUUUAAGACAGACUUACAGGUAAGCAACGCUGUUCGCAGCAAUACACUAAUAGCUGACAAUUCAAGAGAUGAAUUGAAUCUUGGCAGAAUGGUAAAGCGGCGAAGGCCCAGGGAUGGGGCUGACACUACACGGGCAAUGCCGCGAAACAAUGCUUCUUCUUCUAUGUGUAUGGUUCUGGCAUUGGCUGCACAGACCAGGUGAUAC
Molecule: long non-coding RNA, 530 nt
Filed under: Triticum aestivum (bread wheat)
Lineage: Eukaryota; Viridiplantae; Streptophyta; Magnoliopsida; Poales; Poaceae
Description: long non-coding RNA (TAES_LNC006876)
Source: RNAcentral